This 504-nucleotide ribosomal RNA is filed under the name uncultured Glomus. Its description in RNAcentral is "SSU rRNA". It matches the Rfam family "Eukaryotic small subunit ribosomal RNA", at positions 569 to 1078 of the family's 1831-position model. Lineage: Eukaryota; Fungi; Glomeromycota; Glomeromycetes; Glomerales; Glomeraceae. The record is from RNAcentral.
AGCAGCCGCGGUAAUUCCAGCUCCAAUAGCGUAUAUUAAAGUUGUUGCAGUUAAAAAGCUCGUAGUUGAAUUUCGGGAUCAGUACGCUGGUCGUGCCUCCGGUACGUACUGGUGUCACUGGUUCCUCCCUUCUGAAGAACCAUCAUGCUAUUAAUUUAGUGUGGUGGGAAAUCAGGACUGUUACUUUGAAAAAAUUAGAGUGUUUAAAGCAGGCUCACGCUUGAAUACAUUAGCAUGGAAUAAUGAAAUAGGACGUUGAUCCUAUUUUGUUGGUUUCUAGGAUUGACGUAAUGAUUAAUAGGGAUAGUUGGGGGCAUUAGUAUUCAAUUGUCAGAGGUGAAAUUCUUGGAUUUAUUGAAGACUAACUACUGCGAAAGCAUUUGCCAAGGAUGUUUUCAUUAAUCAAGAACGAAAGUUAGGGGAUCGAAGACGAUCAGAUACCGUCGUAGUCUUAACCAUAAACUAUGCCGACUAGGGAUCGGAUGAUGUUAAUUUUUUAAUGUA